AUUUGAGAUUGUUGUUUACCUCAGUAAUGUGCCAACACAGUUUGACAAUGCUGAUAACAGAGAAAAUAUGAAAAUAAUAGACAUUUAAAUGGUGAAAUUCAAUAAUUAGUUUUUUCUUUUCAAUUAAUUUAAUUAUAUGGGAAUUAAUAUUAAUGAAGAUGUUGUGUUAGUUCGACUUCAAGGGUUAAUAAAAAUAUAUAUAAUGGUACACAUACAUAUAAUUUUUAGUAUCCACAUAAAUAAAUACAUGCGUAUUUAUAUUACAUUCUGCAUUUGCUCUUGUUCGAUGGCUAUAUAUGUAAAUAUGUCACAAUAAAUAAACUAUCGGUGAUGUCGUUAUAUGUGGUUUUUUAAGUUUAUUUUUCUUUUCUUCCACAGCGCACAAUAGUCUUCAAGUCGCACAUAACAGUUGCACUUUUGUUUCUAUGUACUUUUAUACUUCCUGUUAUUUACUUCUACAUAACCUGCCCCUUCUCUAACACUCUUUCCAUAUACGUAUUUAUAUAUUUAUAUUCGAUCACCUAAAUCUCAUUGCUACUUUAUUUCAUACGCUUUCAUCUACUUCUCUUUUUUUACAUAUUCACCAAAUGCAAUGUAAGUUUUUUUCUAUUUUCUACAUCCAACUGCUGCACAUUCGAAAGUGUUUUUUCCAUACUCUACAUAUGUUUUGCACAUAAAUAUUUAAUGGUAUAUUAUUAUUUACUUGUUCUAUUAACGAUAUUUCAUAUUUUUUAACACAAAUACACAAGUUAAAUGUUAAAAAACUGGCUAAAACCGAUGACGAAACAAAGAACUACUAUUUUUUCUUCUGCUCACCACUAUUCCUUCUGCAUACCGAACCGAACUUUUCCUUUGGUAUGUAUGUCGCAUAGGGUUGCAUGCUAGUUGGAAAAAACGUACUUUAGUAGUAUUACAAUUGGAUAUUUCGACACUGUGAAUUAAUUAAAAAUAUAUGUUAAUUUUUAUUAUAUAGUAUUUGUUUGUAUCCAAUGUAGCAUGUGCAGCAGUUCAUUAUUACACAUAACAUUUGUUUUUUAAGUGCAAUUGAAUACCAGUUAUGCUUAAAACUGUACUAUAGUAUAUACUGUUUUGGAGCAGUUUCAAAAGUAUAUUUGCGUUUAAUUAAAUAUAUAUAACAACUUACUAAUAAUAAACAUCUAACAAAUCGACGACAUUUGUCUACUUAACCAAAUCUUAUAAACAAAAAUGCUGGAAAUAGUAUCUGCAAUUUGUGCAUAUAAAUAAAUGACACACAUACCAAUAUGAGCAGGUAAUAAAACGCGAUAAAGAAGUGAACAAAACAAUAAAUUGCGAUGUAAUAUAAAACGAAGGAAAGUGUUAGAGUAACAGCUGUUGGCUGUCAGGUUAUCUUAUGGUUUGUUGUUAUUGUCUAUCCGUUAUUAUUGAUGUCAAACAACUGCAUUUACGUGGUUUAAAUUUAUGUAUGCAUGUAUGUCAAGGUAAAUAUUAUUGGCAUUUUUUAUUAAUUGUAAGCAUAAACCGACAACGGCUUAGCAUAAUAGACUAUACAUUGCGUGAACAUAAAAUAAUUCCCAAUUGGCCGUACUUACUUAGAUGUUCAAAUUUAUUAAAUACUCCAAACUUAAAUUUUUUUUAAUUAUUUGUAUUUAUUUACGCCUCUGCUCUGCCACGAAAACACGAAAUUAGAAAUUUCGUUAAUAUAUUUUUUUGUUUGUUAUUUUAAUGUAACAAAAAUGACAAUAAUUAUACUUAAGCGGUUAAAUUUACGUACAGUUGUUUUAGUUAUCAUACAUUUACAUACAAUUCAUUAUAUAUAUUUUUAUAAUAUUUAAUAUAUAUGAGUUUUUAUACAAUAUUAUUUAUUGCAUGCCAACAAUAUCCAUACGUUAAGUUGUAAGUUGUUAAGUUCUUAGUUUUAUAUUCCAGUUUGUAUUUUCUUGUUUUCAGUCUCACACAUGCACCCAUUAUUGACUUUUUAGCUUAUAAUUUCAUUAUUUACUUAAGAUUAAUAUAUAUAUAUAUGUAUAUAUGUGUGUGUAUGUAUAUAUGUAGGUAUAUUUUGAUUUUAUUUUGUUCAACGAAUUACUUAUAUUACAUGCGCGUACUUCACUUCAAUAGUUUCUAAAUGUUUAAUUGCUAUUGCAGUACAUAACCAUUACACACGGUUAUUUGUAUGAUCUUGUUCUAAUAUAUGUAGGUAUGUUUAUUUUAGCGUACUACACUUAUUUAUAAAAAAAUAUAAACUUUGCAUGGUUCAAAUGCUUACACUGCACAAAUUUUACCUAUAUUUCCAUACCGAUUUCAACUACACGCCGCUGUUCUUAACAAUAUUCUCUUGAGUUGCACACGGUUGUUUAAACUUUUAUUUUAUAUAAAAAUACUUUGUUUGUAUGUGUAAAAUGAAAAAAAAAAACUGUAAAAAAACUACAAUUUUCAUUGCCUAUACAAAAUCAAGUGUUUCUUUUUAAUGCUGAUUGACAAAACAAGCCAUAAUCUGGCUACAUACUCAUAGACUCUUUCAAAUAAAAAAAAAUAUAUAUAUUUUUUAACUAUGACUUAGUGUACUGUUUUAGCAUACUAAUAUUUAUGUAAUUUUGUUUUAUAUGGAAAAAUAUAUAACUAUUAAGCAAUGUUAGACAGCCAACUUCGGUAUACACUAAUUUAAUUUUUACGAUAUUGCGCGCUUAAUGCUCACUAGAAAGUAGAAAGGUUGUGGGCGUUUGAAUUUUUAGUUAUUAAAUUAAUAAAUAUUUAGAUUUUUAUAACGAGUUCUACUUAAAAAUGAAAAUAAAAAAUACUUAGCAAAAUUUUUUAUAUGCUUUAUAUAACACGAGAUGUUAUUGUUGUCUAGUGUAUAUAAUGGGCAUUGCAGAAUUUUUUCAAUUUUCUAACUAAAUUGCUUGAAUUAUAUUCAAAACAAUUAAUAAACUCUUACGCAUCGUUUUAAAAGCCAAGUAUAGUAUGCCUUAUUUUUAGUGAAAUUCCAAGGAACAACGUAAAUAUACCGAAAUUGGACACUAUUGUGUACGCUUCCCAAACAACCAUUAUAUGCGCUUAUUAAGGGAAAAGUAAUGAAAAUAAGUAGAAAUAAAUUAUGUUCAAUAUUAUGU
Molecule: long non-coding RNA, 3092 nt
Organism: Zeugodacus cucurbitae (melon fly)
Lineage: Eukaryota; Metazoa; Arthropoda; Insecta; Diptera; Tephritidae
Exons: 2
Source: RefSeq, a predicted model, not a curated record